Molecule: transfer RNA, 69 nt
Filed under: Ictidomys tridecemlineatus (thirteen-lined ground squirrel)
Lineage: Eukaryota; Metazoa; Chordata; Mammalia; Rodentia; Sciuridae
Description: Spermophilus tridecemlineatus (thirteen-lined ground squirrel) tRNA
Rfam family: tRNA
About the family: Transfer RNA (tRNA) molecules are approximately 80 nucleotides in length. Their secondary structure includes four short double-helical elements and three loops (D, anti-codon, and T loops). Further hydrogen bonds mediate the characteristic L-shaped molecular structure. tRNAs have two regions of fundamental functional importance: the anti-codon, which is responsible for specific mRNA codon recognition, and the 3' end, to which the tRNAs corresponding amino acid is attached (by aminoacyl-tRNA synthetases). tRNAs cope with the degeneracy of the genetic code in two manners: having more than one tRNA (with a specific anti-codon) for a particular amino acid; and 'wobble' base-pairing, i.e. permitting non-standard base-pairing at the 3rd anti-codon position.
Source: Rfam by way of RNAcentral
GGGAUUGUAGCUGUGUGGUAGAGCAUGUGCUUUUCAAGCACAAGGCUCUGGAUUUAACCUCCAGUGCCA